This 540-nucleotide unclassified non-coding RNA is filed under the name Hevea brasiliensis (rubber tree). Lineage: Eukaryota; Viridiplantae; Streptophyta; Magnoliopsida; Malpighiales; Euphorbiaceae. The record is from RNAcentral.
CACACAGUGUCAAAACCUCUCUCUCUCCUCUUUCAUGGCCGAAAUUUCUCACUUUCACUUCUCUCUCUAUACUUCUGCCUUAUGCUCCUCAGCCAUGGCUAGAACCCUAGCCGCUACUCCACGUUAACUCUGUCUUUCCCUGCAUCUUCAUCUGUUAAAUUUAACGGAAGAGUUUCAAGCUCAAUUUCAUGCUCCCUUCCUCUAGCUACCUCGACUUCUCGUGCCUGUACGCUCAAAUGCUCUGCCUCGGCGUCUCAAUCAUAUGCCUAUCAAUCAGAAAAAUUUCUAGAAGCUUCCAAGAAGGGAAAUUUAAUUCCUUUAUACCAUUGCAUAUUAUGUGAUCACCUCACUCCAGUGCUUGCUUAUCGCUGUCUGGUUAAGGAAGAUGAUAGAGAUGCUCCAAGCUUUUUAUUUGAGUCAGUGGAGGNNNNNNNNNNCACUAUUGGGCGAUAUAGUGUUAUAGGAGCUCAACCGAGUAUAGAGAUUGUGGCUAAAGAGAACAUGGUUACAAUUAUGAACCAUUAUGAAGGACAGAGGACA